CCUGCUCAGAAUUUAAAAAUAUGUAUAUAUUAAUAUGUUGAAGUAAUUUUGUUAUAAUUGCUAUUUCAAAAUACUGUUCUAGGGUCCCUGAAAAAUUCUAGAACAGUAGGAUUUAGCAAACGUGUUUCAUACGCCUGACUGUCAUUAAGGCAAUUCAAAUCAUCUCGUCAUGCUAAAAUGCUUCAAGAUUGUGGAGCUAAAUAAAACUCAAAUUGAACAUUGAACUAUCAUGAAAUAAGUUCAAAUACCAUGACACUGCCAUUCUGAAGAACUCGAAUGUCGUCUGUCUGCCAGAUAAUUCCAGCCCUCCAUCCAACUCAACCAAGGUGCCAACCAUCAUGGUAAAGAAGUUGCCUUGGAAGUGGAUACUCCAGCACUACUCCUCCAAGUUCCAUGCAAACCAGUCUACCUCAUGGACAGCUGUGGUAUCCACAUUUCUGUGUGAUUCAAGUAAGUUCGGAACUAAAUAUUCCCUUAAUAUAUUUAGUUAUUUUGCUUGGUCUAAAAGGUACAGUCUCCUAUAUUAAUAAUAAUAGCACACUUUGGGCAAGGACAAGAGGAUAGUUUAAAUAUGCACUUGUGAUUUUAUAGCAGAAAUAUUCCUCAAAGGUACUUACAUUUAAGGGACUCAGUCUGUGAAGCAACUCAAGCCUGAAAAUUACAGUUGGA
This is a long non-coding RNA of Macaca mulatta (Rhesus monkey), 669 nucleotides long. NCBI's taxonomy places the organism in Eukaryota, Metazoa, Chordata, Mammalia, Primates, Cercopithecidae. The record is from Ensembl.